RNAcentral lists this ribosomal RNA (271 nucleotides) under uncultured bacterium. RNAcentral's name for it is "partial 16S ribosomal RNA". It matches the Rfam family "Bacterial small subunit ribosomal RNA", at positions 338 to 624 of the family's 1533-position model. The record is from RNAcentral.
CCUACGGGGGGCAGCAGUCGGGAAUAUUGCGCAAUGGAGGAAACUCUGACGCAGUGACGCCGCGUGAGGGAAGACGGUCUUCGGAUUGUAAACCUCUUUCAGCAGGGAAGACAAAAGGACGGUACCUGCAGAAGAAGCCACGGCUAACUACGUGCCAGCAGCCGCGGUAAUACGUAGGUGGCAAGCGUUAUCCGGAAUUACUGGGUGUAAAGGGUGUGUAGGCGGGGCUGCAAGUCAGGUGUGAAAAUUAUGGGCUCAACCCACAAACUGC